This 112-nucleotide ribosomal RNA is filed under the name Trichophyton mentagrophytes. RNAcentral describes it as "partial 28S ribosomal RNA". Lineage: Eukaryota; Fungi; Ascomycota; Eurotiomycetes; Onygenales; Arthrodermataceae. The record is from RNAcentral.
CAAACCAGCGCCUCCAGGACCGGCCGCCCUGGCCUCAAAAUCUGUUUUAUACUUAUCAGGUUGACCUCGGAUCAGGUAGGGAUACCCGCUGAACUUAAGCAUAUCAAUAAGC